Molecule: unclassified non-coding RNA, 237 nt
Filed under: uncultured fungus
Lineage: Eukaryota; Fungi
Also listed under: 1 other name
Description: partial contains 5.8S ribosomal RNA, internal transcribed spacer 2, and large subunit ribosomal RNA
Source: RNAcentral
AACGCACAUUGCGCCCUUUGGCAUUCCGAAGGGCAUGCCCGUUCGAGCGUCAUUACACCAAUCAAGCCUGGCUUGGUAUUGGGCGUCGGGAGACCCCGCGCCCCUAAUUCAUCGGCUGGACGGUUCGAAUCUCAGCGUUGUGGUCAUUCAAUUCGCUGGCGAGGACGACCGGACGCGCCGUUAAACCUCUUAUCACAGGUUGACCUCGGAUCGGGUAGGGAUACCCGCUGAACUUAA